This 349-nucleotide long non-coding RNA is filed under the name Coffea arabica (coffee). RNAcentral describes it as "long non-coding RNA (CARA_LNC004519)". Lineage: Eukaryota; Viridiplantae; Streptophyta; Magnoliopsida; Gentianales; Rubiaceae. The record is from RNAcentral.
CAGAGUCUCUGGUAGCAGAAGCAGAGCAAGAUGAAAAGAUAGUAGCUAUUCAUGCUGCCAUGGGAGGUGGUACCGGUCUCAAUAUAUUCCAGAAACGCUUUCCUGAACGAUGUUUUGAUGUUGGGAUCGCAGAGCAGCAUGCUGUUACUUUUGCUGCUGGUUUAGCUACAGAAGGGCUCAAGCCCUUUUGUGCUAUCUACUCAUCUUUCCUGCAGAGGGGUUACGAUCAGGUAAAAUGGCCUAACCUCAUUACUAGUUGCUAAAAUGGAAAAUGUGCACAUUCAAUAGAAAUUCUAAUACUGGAGAUUGUGCAGGUGGUUCACGAUGUAGACCUUCAAAAACUUCCUGU